RNAcentral lists this ribosomal RNA (253 nucleotides) under uncultured bacterium. Its description in RNAcentral is "partial 16S ribosomal RNA". It matches the Rfam family "Bacterial small subunit ribosomal RNA", at positions 524 to 776 of the family's 1533-position model. The record is from RNAcentral.
UACGGAGGAUCCGAGCGUUAUCCGGAUUUAUUGGGUUUAAAGGGAGCGUAGGCGGGUUGUUAAGUCAGUUGUGAAAGUUUGCGGCUCAACCGUAAAAUUGCAGUUGAUACUGGCAUCCUUGAGUACAGUAGAGGUAGGCGGAAUUCGUGGUGUAGCGGUGAAAUGCUUAGAUAUCACGAAGAACUCCGAUUGCGAAGGCAGCCUGCUGGAUUGUAACUGACGCUGAUGCUCGAAAGUGUGGGUAUCAAACAGG